This 200-nucleotide long non-coding RNA is filed under the name Homo sapiens (human). RNAcentral's name for it is "HSALNT0265924". Lineage: Eukaryota; Metazoa; Chordata; Mammalia; Primates; Hominidae. The record is from RNAcentral.
AAGGGCCCCCAGUGGUGCUCAAGACCAGGCAGCAGAAGGCCAGCAGAGUUCCAGCCGCUCGCAUGGCUGCCCGGGUAGGGACAGUGCGGGGCAGUUGGGGGCAGUGGUUGGUGCCCGUGCCGAGCCUUCUUGGGUAGAUGGCGCAGGGCAGGUGGGGGCAGUGGUCUGUGCCCGUGCCAAUCCUUCUCAGGCAGCACGGG